Molecule: ribosomal RNA, 301 nt
Filed under: uncultured bacterium
Lineage: Bacteria
Description: partial 16S ribosomal RNA
Rfam family: Bacterial small subunit ribosomal RNA
Source: RNAcentral
CAGUAGCCGCGGUAAUACGUAGGUGGCAAGCGUUGUCCGGAAUUAUUGGGCGUAAAGGGCUCGCAGGCGGUUUCUUAAGUCUGAUGUGAAAGCCCCCGGCUCAACCGGGGAGGAUCAUUGGAAACUGGGAAACUUGAGUGCAGAAGAGGAGAGUGGAAUUCCACGUGUAGCGGUGAAAUGCGUAGAGAUGUGGAGGAACACCAGUGGCGAAGGCGACUCCCUGGUCUGUAACUGACGCUGAGGUGCGAAAGCGUGGGGAGCAAACAGGAUUAGAUACCCCAGUAGUCCCUGUCUCUUAUAC